AAACAUGGCUUAAAGAAUAAAGCUCAAUUAAUUUGUUCUUAUCAGUUUAAUACCUCAUACAUCCUCCAUAGGAGGGAGGGUCAGUAUAUGAACCUGAUUUUUGGAAUCGGAUGGAGUUGGCAGAGUUCACUCCUCAACCACCGCGAAUUAGCGCGGUAUUGCAGUGCCACUGGAAGUGGCCCAAUCCAC
This is a small nuclear RNA of Frieseomelitta varia, 189 nucleotides long. RefSeq annotates it as U2 spliceosomal RNA. The record is from RefSeq and is a predicted model, not a curated record. Lineage: Eukaryota; Metazoa; Arthropoda; Insecta; Hymenoptera; Apidae. The transcript has a single exon.